Molecule: small nucleolar RNA, 170 nt
Organism: Lycium barbarum (goji berry)
Lineage: Eukaryota; Viridiplantae; Streptophyta; Magnoliopsida; Solanales; Solanaceae
Product: small nucleolar RNA snoR143
Exons: 1
Source: RefSeq, a predicted model, not a curated record
CUGCACCCGUAUAAAGGUUAUGCUAAAAAAUAUUGAAAUAGCUUAGCCUUGAGCGUUUGUGCAAAGAGAAAAUACUGAUUUUUAAUCAGUGGCGGCCAGACAACCGUUGAGAUGAAUCCACAGAUAAGUUCCCUUUUAUGGUACUUGUCUACUAAAUUCAUCUCACAUUU